AAGUUGCUGCGUGGGCCAAGUUACUUGUGCAGAUUAUUCAGGACAGGGAGUUGACCAGCUGCAAAGAGUGAUUGACACCAUCAAAUCCAACCCUGACGACAGAAGAAUCAUCAUGUGCGCUUGGAAUCCAAGAGAUCUUCCUCUGAUGGCGCUGCCUCCAUGCCAUGCCCUCUGCCAGUUCUAUGUGGUGAACAGUGAGCUGUCCUGCCAGCUGUACCAGAGAUCGGGAGACAUGGGCCUCGGUGUGCCUUUCAACAUCGCCAGCUACGCCCUGCUCACGUACAUGAUUGCGCACAUCACGGGCCUGAAGCCAGGUGACUUUAUACACACUUUGGGAGAUGCACAUAUUUACCUGAAUCACAUCGAGCCACUGAAAAUUCAGCUUCAGCGAGAACCCAGACCUUUCCCAAAGCUCAAGAUUCUUCGAAAAGUUGAGAAAAUUGAUGACUUCAAAGCUGAAGACUUUCAGAUUGAAGGGUACAAUCCACAUCCAACUAUUAAAAUGGAAAUGGCUGUUUAGGGUGCUUUCAAAGGAGCUCGAAGGAUAUUGUCAGUCUUUAGGGGUUGGGCUGGAUGCCGAGGUAAAAGUUCUUUUUGCUCUAAAAGCAAAAGGAACUAGGUCAAAAAUCUGUCCGUGACCUAUCAGUUAUUAAUUUUUAAGGAUGUUGCCACUGGCAAAUAUAACUGUGCCAGUUCUUUCCAUAAUAAAAGGCUUUGAGUUAACUCACUGAGGGUAUCUGACAAUGCUGAGGUUAUGAACAAAGUGAGGAGAAUGAAAUGUAUGUGCUCUUAGCAAAAACAUGUAUGUGCAUUUCAAUCCCACGUCCUUAUAAAGAAGGUUGGUGAAUUUCAUAAGCUAUUUCUGGAAUAUUUUUAGAAUAUUUUA
Molecule: small RNA, 886 nt
Filed under: Pan troglodytes (chimpanzee)
Lineage: Eukaryota; Metazoa; Chordata; Mammalia; Primates; Hominidae
Description: processed transcript
Source: RNAcentral